GAUACAAUCAGUCAGAUAAUGACUUAAUUGGAUUUUACAGAAGAUUGAGUUUUAUUGCCCAGUGCUUUACGAGUUUAGUUAAGGAAGAUCAUUUUAUCACACUUGUCAAGCCGCUGCUACUGCAGCCGUGUGCCCUUCGGGGCGGCUGUAGCUGUAGCUAUUGUGAUUGUAAGGCGACGCCAGAGGCUGCAGGGAGCGCGGGGAAGGACUGGGCCGCUGAACGCCACUUCCGAGGUGGUAAUGGUGGCUUUUUGGGAUGGAGAUCCUUUGCUCACCUUCGCACUCGUUGCCCACGGCCCACACUCCCUCCAUUUAUUUGAAUAAUACUGGCUUCUGCGAAUCUAGUAGUCCUUGAAUAUUUACUGUUCCAUAGAUGACCCCACCCAACACUAUUUUUUCGGGCGUUUUUGAUGGGCUUCCCUUAUGGCUCAGCUAGUUAAAAACCGCCUGCAAUGCAGGAGACCUGGGUUUGAUUCCUGAGUUGGGAAGAUCCCCUGGAGAAGGGAAAGGCUACCCACUCCAGUAUUCUGGCCUGGAAAAUAACAUGGACUCUAUAGUCCAUGGGGUCGCAAAGAGUCAGACACGACUGAGCGACUUUCACUUUGAUGGAGAAGCUCGGCACGGCCCCCUCAAUGGAUGGAUGGGUGUGUGUUAUUUCCUCUCCCAUCACAGCCCCCUUCGCUGUGAACAUGCGAACAUUCCUGAAAAGCCAGGCGGAGCCGGAUAAGCGCGUUAGCCAGCUCUCAGAGCCUAGAUCCAGCACCUCCUGAGCUCCUGGGUGCUCCUGGGGGGGCCGGGCUCCGGUUUGGAAGGGCCACUCCUAGCGCGAGGACCACACCCCAGGGCUGCGAUGGGUUCAGGCGGAGUCGAGGAAAUUCGGCUGCUUCUCUCUUCUCCCCAGAUAGCCCCAUGAAGGGGCUUUCUUCCUGCACCUGGUAGGGUGAAGUGGACCUGCGAUCCUCACGUUUCCUCCUGGAGGCUUAUUCUUGACUGCUAGGGAGGAAAGCACCAGGCGGGCCAGGCCCAGGUGACUGCGUGUCUGGGCUGCUGAAUUUUAACCGUAUUUUAAUAACCACGUUUGAGGGGCGAUCAGUUUCUCAGCUCUGCGCCCUUGAAUGGAGACCUCUAACAGCAGGGCCACAGCCUCUCCCAAACCCUGCGUGUGCAGGUGUGGGCGUGCCGGGCGCUGUGUUCUUGCCCCUUACCGGCGCUGUCUUCCGUGCGGGGAAACAGAGGCAGGCUUGCCGGGCCUUCCUUUUUUGAAUGUUGUUGGCAGACGAAGCGCAAGCCUUUCCUCAGGACCGCCUGCGACUUCCGAGUGGUUGGGGAUGAGGAGCGACUUCUCCUCCCUUCCGGAGCACGCGGCGCCCGGGACCCGCGCCCACUCCGGUCUGUCUUCUGGUUCUCACUCCACUAGUGUGCUGUAGAACUAGGGUCUCAAGGAUAGCGGCCUGAGGGGCCCAGGGCGCUCUUGAUGACCCUGGCCUCCUCGCUGCCAUUAUCCCUGCUUACACUCCCCCUGCAAAGCCCACGCACGGAGCCCGCAUAGCCGUCUCCCGGGCAUCUAGUGGAAACUAGAUUCCCACCCAGGCGUAGAAAUUGAGCCCUCUCCCCGCUUCUUGGAAACCGCAUUACUGAACUGGCUUCACGUGCACAUGUAGACUACCCCGCAUCUGACGCAUAGCACCACGCUUGGCACGCUUUAUAGAACGUGCUUCGUGUCACAAGCAAUCCAGAAGGCAGCCUGGCGAGCGCAGGGUUUUCCUUAGCUCCCGGGACUGGGCCCUAUCCGCCCCUCCGGUUGGGGUCGCCGCAGCCAGCCCGCCGCCCCUCUGAGAGGUUGCUCCGGGAACUUGCGUGGGUUUACGUCCUCCUCGCUCCCUCUGCGUACAGGCAAGCGAACAAGGCCUGAGACCUUUGCUGCGCGCCGGGCACGCGUAAGCUCAGCCGCCAAUGUAUCUUUUAUUCUCGCCUUUAAAACACUCCUCUCCACCUACCCCCCCUCCCCCGCCCCCAGGGAAAAGCGAGGCCUUCACUCAGUCAAGUAUUCGUUAAGUGCCUUCCCCUACCCCUGGCCAAAGGCCUGCAAACUUUUCAGUAGCUCUAAGCUGCGGCCCAGACGGUGCAAGAGGGUUCUGGGAGAGUGGGCGGGGCGUUAGGUGGGUGGGGCCCGCGUGCUCCGGAAGUCUCCCCGCCCUGGAGGCUUUGGUGCCGGCUAGGCGGAGGGUUGGCUGCUGGAACGCCUGGUGGUACUUGAAUUCACAGCACACACAUGGACGUUUUCGGGUUGUUUGUUUGCUUCCAAAGCAGUGCAGAAUAAAGCUGAGAGGCGCCGACCGGUUGACCAUUGCAGCCGACUGGUCUACGCUCCGGAUUCGCAUUGGAUUCAUCCAGACCGCCAAGAGAUGAAUUCAGGGUGUGCUCUCUUAAGUCUGCCAACUGAGAGCUCCGGGAUUGCCAUCGCCCCUCUUCGCACUGAGCCAUUGUGCUACCCUGCGCCGCAGUAACCACUGCUUUUUAGUUUUGUUUUCUCGCAUUAGGGGAGCAUCUCUGUGCAUUUGUGGAAGUAUUCUGCUUUAGGCCAAACCUAUACACACAGUAUCACUUUAAACAGUUUUAUGCUGUCAUCUUGUGCAAAGGUCCUCUCCCACCCGUACACAAAGACACUGGGGUGGGGGUGGGGAGGCCCCAUCCCUUAUUCAUAACUAGCUUGCUCAGUCCGUGGGCAUUUGAAUGGGGUGAUGCGAGACCUCCGUUUGAUCUCUCAAAGACCGUUAGGCAGAACGCAGAUCAUAUGCGGUGACUUUGGGGGCGCUAGCGUGGCCCCUCCAUCCGCUCCCUGAAAGUUUAGACCCAGUGCUUAAACACAAACUCCAAAAGAGCACUUGCCGGCUUUUCAGGACAGAGACUUUAUUUUUUAUUACAACGUGGAGGUGUAGAAAGGUAAACUCUGCGCCACAGAGGGAGGACUAUUUUCCCCUUUGAAAUAGCUUGCAAAACGGGUCGUCGUCCUUGGACCAGCAGGUUUUCAAAAGCAUGUUCUUCUGCAGCGGCAAAAGGGGAAAAACAACAACAACAACAACAACGUUGCAAAAAGAACUCAAGAAAGCCCCCAUUUCUCGAACCAGUUCCAAUGCCCUACCUCCAACUCCUUCAGCCAGUGGCCGCAGGGCCUGGCUCCCCCCAACUUAAAAGCUCUUCUCGCGCCGGGACCCUAGUGCACCCGCAGCGCUCAGAUAGGUUCCGGAUAUCCCCGAGCCGUGUUUCUGUGGCCAAGUGUGGGAAUGAAAGCCGCCUCGGGCCCGGUGCCGCCAAAUCGGGCCUGGAGGGAGGGGGGAAAAGAGUUGAAGGGGAACUGCCACCCGCCUCGCCCAGAGGCACCCUCACGCUCAUCCGCGCAGGUCCUCCCUUCCCCGCCCCGCGGGCGCUGCCGCGUCCCGAGUGCUGCAGUCCCUCCCGUGCAAGCAGGGGAGGCGCGGGGAGGGUGGAGGAG
This is a long non-coding RNA of Bos taurus (domestic cattle), 3493 nucleotides long. The record is from Ensembl. Lineage: Eukaryota; Metazoa; Chordata; Mammalia; Artiodactyla; Bovidae.